UCCGUAGGUGAACCUGCGGAGGGAUCAUUACCGAGUUUACAACUCCCAAACCCCUGUGAACAUACCAAUUGUUGCCUCGGCGGAUCAGCCCGCUCCCGGUAAAACGGGACGGCCCGCCAGAGGACCCCUAAACUCUGUUUCUAUAUGUAACUUCUGAGUAAAACCAUAAAUAAAUCAAAACUUUCAACAACGGAUCUCUUGGUUCUGGCAUCGAUGAAGAACGCAGCAAAAUGCGAUAAGUAAUGUGAAUUGCAGAAUUCAGUGAAUCAUCGAAUCUUUGAACGCACAUUGCGCCCGCCAGUAUUCUGGCGGGCAUGCCUGUUCGAGCGUCAUUUCAACCCUCAAGCCCUCGGGUUUGGUGUUGGGGAUCGGCGAGCCCUUGCGGCAAGCCGGCCCCGAAAUCUAGUGGCGGUCUCGCUGCAGCUUCCAUUGCGUAGUAGUAAAACCCUCGCAACUGGUACGCGGCGCGGCCAAGCCGUUAAACCCCCAACUUCUGAAUGUUGACCUCGGAUCAGGUAGGAAUACCCGCUGAACUUAAGCAUAUCAAUAAGCGGAGGA
RNAcentral lists this ribosomal RNA (558 nucleotides) under Fusarium proliferatum. RNAcentral's name for it is "eukaryotic LSU rRNA". The stretch from base 179 to 332 matches the Rfam family "5.8S ribosomal RNA". The record is from RNAcentral. Lineage: Eukaryota; Fungi; Ascomycota; Sordariomycetes; Hypocreales; Nectriaceae.